This is a long non-coding RNA of Solanum dulcamara, 781 nucleotides long. RefSeq lists it as uncharacterized. The transcript has 2 exons. The record is from RefSeq and is a predicted model, not a curated record. Lineage: Eukaryota; Viridiplantae; Streptophyta; Magnoliopsida; Solanales; Solanaceae.
UCUUUUCAAUUUCCACCCUACUUUACACCUCAUACCUAACUACCAAAUUUUCUAUACCCACUUUACUUACAAUAUAUUACAGUAAACAUCCAACCCCAAUUCCUAAUUUUCUUUACACCCAUACAGAACACCCAAAAUAUGCUCUUCUCCCUUUCCUUCUUCCCAAAACACAAAAGUCAAAAUCAAGAACCCUAAGUUCUUCAUCCAAAUGACAUUGCCUAUAUCUAUCUCUUUCUCCAUAUUUGAAAAAAUUACAAACCUCGAGCCUCAAUUGUUGACUUUUGUUUAGAAAACCCUCAUUCAAAUCUAAUCUGGAUCAGAAGAUAUCAGAUUGAAUUCGGAUUUUUGGGAUGAUAUACAGGUCUUGGAAGGCAAAAACGUAGGUAUAAAAGGACUGGUAUAUAGCUAGUAUACAUGAGAUAUACAACAGGUAUACAAAGUGAAGAAAUGGGCCAAAGGCCCAAAAACGUGGAAGCGAUCCAAUUAGCUGGGCAAUGAGGAUUUGGGCCAAGAAUAGCCUAAUUCCAUUAUUUCCUCAAAAAGGGACAUGGCCAAAGUCCAACAGGCAGCAACAGAAGGCCUAAAAAGUCAGUCCAGACGUACAGAACCCGAUUUUGGGCGCAAAAUAGUCCACUUUGAGCUUCUUGAAUUUGCUUUUUUAGUUCCAAGCUAUUAGAAAUUUAACAAUAUUCUCUCUCUCUCUCUCUAUGUUGAAUAUGUUUGUUGUUGUAUGUUUUUAAUGAUUACAAAUAAAAUAUGCUUGUAUUAAGUUGUAUGUCAA